UAUAUACUCCCUCCAUCCCAAAAUAAGUGACUCAAAAGGGACUCAACUUUGUACUAAAGUUAGUACAAAGUUGAGUCCCUUUUGAGUCACUUAUUUUGGGAUGGAGGGAGUAUGAA
Hordeum vulgare subsp. vulgare (domesticated barley) is the source of this 116-nucleotide non-coding RNA. The record is from Rfam. NCBI's taxonomy places the organism in Eukaryota, Viridiplantae, Streptophyta, Magnoliopsida, Poales, Poaceae.